GAUGAACGCUGGCGGCGUGCCCAAUACAUGCAAGUCGAGCGAACAGACGAGGAGCUUGCUCCUCUGACGUUAGCGGCGGACGGGUGAGUAACACGUGGAUAACCUACCUAUAAGACUGGGAUAACUUCGGGAAACCGGAGCUAAUACCGGAUAAUAUAUUGAACCGCAUGGUUCAAUAGUGAAAGACGGUUUUGCUGUCACUUAUAGAUGGAUCCGCGCCGCAUUAGCUAGUUGGUAAGGUAACGGCUUACCAAGGCGACGAUGCGUAGCCGACCUGAGAGGGUGAUCGGCCACACUGGAACUGAGACACGGUCCAGACUCCUACGGGAGGCAGCAGUAGGGAAUCUUCCGCAAGGGGCGAAAGCCUGACGGAGCAACGCCGCGUGAGUGAUGAAGGUCUUCGGAUCGUAAAACUCUGUUAUUAGGGAAGAACAAAUGUGUAAGUAACUAUGCACGUCUUGACGGUACCUAAGCAGAAAGCCACGGCUAACUACGU
RNAcentral lists this ribosomal RNA (496 nucleotides) under uncultured bacterium. RNAcentral describes it as "partial 16S ribosomal RNA". It matches the Rfam family "Bacterial small subunit ribosomal RNA", at positions 28 to 506 of the family's 1533-position model. The record is from RNAcentral.